GAUGAACGCUAGCGGCAGGCCUAACACAUGCAAGUCGAGGGGCAUCGCGGUGCAGCAAUGCACUGGCGGCGACCGGCGUACGGGUGCGUAACGCGUAUGCAACCUGCCCCGCACCGGGGGAUAGCCCGCCGAAAGGCGGAUUAAUACCCCAUGGCCCCGGGGGCCCGCAUGGGCAUCCGGGUAAAGCUUUGGCGGUGCGGGAUGGGCAUGCGUGCCAUUAGCUGGCUGGUGGGGUAACGGCCCACCAGGGCAACGAUGGCUAGGGGGUCUGAGAGGAUGGUCCCCCACACUGGUACUGAGACACGGACCAGACUCCUACGGGAGGCAGCAGUGAGGAAUAUUGGUCAAUGGGCGGAAGCCUGAACCAGCCAUGCCGCGUGCGGGAUGAAGGCCCUACGGGUUGUAAACCUCUGUCAUGGGGGAAGAAGUAAGUGACGGUACCCCAAGAGGAAGCCCCUGCUAACUACGUG
This 470-nucleotide ribosomal RNA is filed under the name uncultured bacterium. RNAcentral describes it as "bacterial SSU rRNA". It matches the Rfam family "Bacterial small subunit ribosomal RNA", at positions 28 to 507 of the family's 1533-position model. The record is from RNAcentral.